Molecule: ribosomal RNA, 731 nt
Filed under: uncultured Chitinophaga sp.
Lineage: Bacteria; Pseudomonadati; Bacteroidota; Chitinophagia; Chitinophagales; Chitinophagaceae
Description: bacterial SSU rRNA
Rfam family: Bacterial small subunit ribosomal RNA
Source: RNAcentral
AGUGGCGCACGGGUGCGUAACACGUAUGUAACUUGCCCAUCAGAGGGGGAAAGUCGCUGGAAACGGUGAAUAAUCCCGCAUGUGUUGUACGAUCCGCAUGGUAUGUACAGGAAAGAUUAAUCGCUGAUGGAUAGGCAUGCGUCUGAUUAGGUAGUUGGCGGGGUAACGGCCCACCAAGCCGACGAUCAGUAACUGGUCUGAGAGGAUGAUCAGUCACACGGGCACUGAGACACGGGCCCGACUCCUACGGGAGGCAGCAGUAAGGAAUAUUGGUCAAUGGGGGCAACCCUGAACCAGCCAUGCCGCGUGCAGGAUGAAGGUCCUCUGGAUUGUAAACUGCUUUUCUCAAGGGUUAAAGGUUUCCUAUAGGGAGAUUUGAAGGUACUUGAGGAAUAAGCCACGGCUAACUACGUGCCAGCAGCCGCGGUAAUACGUAGGUGGCAAGCGUUGUCCGGAUUUAUUGGGUUUAAGGGGUGCGUAGGCGGCCUGAUAAGUUAGUGGUGAAAUCGUGCCGCUUAACGGUAUACUCGCCAUUAAUACUGUCGGGCUUGAGUAAGUGUAAGGGAGAUGGAAUGCGUGGUGUAGCGGUGAAAUGCAUAGAUAUCACGCAGAACGCCGAUUGCGAAGGCAGUUUUCUGGCACUUAACUGACGCUGAGGCACGAAAGCGUGGGUAGCGAACAGGAUUAGAUACCCUGGUAGUCCACGCUGUAAACGAUGGUUACUAGAUGUG